RNAcentral lists this transfer RNA (71 nucleotides) under Sarcophilus harrisii (Tasmanian devil). It matches the Rfam family "tRNA". From Rfam's summary of the family: Transfer RNA (tRNA) molecules are approximately 80 nucleotides in length. Their secondary structure includes four short double-helical elements and three loops (D, anti-codon, and T loops). Further hydrogen bonds mediate the characteristic L-shaped molecular structure. tRNAs have two regions of fundamental functional importance: the anti-codon, which is responsible for specific mRNA codon recognition, and the 3' end, to which the tRNAs corresponding amino acid is attached (by aminoacyl-tRNA synthetases). tRNAs cope with the degeneracy of the genetic code in two manners: having more than one tRNA (with a specific anti-codon) for a particular amino acid; and 'wobble' base-pairing, i.e. permitting non-standard base-pairing at the 3rd anti-codon position. Lineage: Eukaryota; Metazoa; Chordata; Mammalia; Dasyuromorphia; Dasyuridae. The record is from Rfam by way of RNAcentral.
GAUAGUGUAGUAAAAUGGAAAUAACUCUGGUUUGGAAUCAGAGGACCUGGCUUAGAAUCCCAGUGCUGCUA